RNAcentral lists this ribosomal RNA (406 nucleotides) under uncultured bacterium. RNAcentral describes it as "partial 16S ribosomal RNA". It matches the Rfam family "Bacterial small subunit ribosomal RNA", at positions 30 to 526 of the family's 1533-position model. The record is from RNAcentral.
AUUGAACGCUGGCGGCAGGCCUAACACAUGCAAGUCGAACGAGCGGCGGACGGGUGAGUAAUGUCUGGGAAACUGCCUGAUGGAGGGGGAUCACUACUGGAAACGGUAGCUAAUACCGCAUAACAUCAGAUGUGCCCAAAUGGGAUUGGCUAGUUGGUGGGGUAACGGCUCACCAAGGCGACGAUCCCUAGCUGGUCUGAGAGGAUGAUCGGCCACACGGGUACUGAGACACGGUCCAGACUCCUAGGGGAGGCAGCAGUGGGGAAUAUUGCACAAUGGGCGCAAGCCUGAUGCAGCCAUGCCGCGUGUAUGAAGAAGGCCUUCGGGUUGUAAAGUACUUUCAGCGGGGAGGCGUUACCCGCAGAAGAAGCACCGGCUAACUCCGUGCCAGCAGCCGCGGUAAUAC